CACGUAGGGCGCAAGCGUUGUCCGGAAUUACUGGGCGUAAAGCGCGCGUAGGCGGCUUUGCAAGUCGGGUGUGAAAUCCCCAGGCUUAACCUGGGAACUGCAUUCGAGACUGCAUUGCUAGAGUAUGGGAGAGGGAAGUGGAAUUUCCGGUGUAGCGGUGAAAUGCGUAGAUAUCGGAAGGAACAUCAGUGGCGAAGGCGGGUCGUCUGGGCCGGUACUGACGCUGAGACGCGAAAGCGUGGGGAGCGAA
This 250-nucleotide ribosomal RNA is filed under the name uncultured bacterium. Its description in RNAcentral is "partial 16S ribosomal RNA". It matches the Rfam family "Bacterial small subunit ribosomal RNA", at positions 524 to 772 of the family's 1533-position model. The record is from RNAcentral.